Molecule: long non-coding RNA, 766 nt
Organism: Mustela lutreola (European mink)
Lineage: Eukaryota; Metazoa; Chordata; Mammalia; Carnivora; Mustelidae
Exons: 4
Source: RefSeq, a predicted model, not a curated record
GGGCCAGGAAGUACAUUCUUGCCAUGAACGCAGAAGGUGGAGAGCCAGAAAUACCUGUAUAAGCUUUGCAGAGUUUUCAACAGGGGAAUUACCUCUUCUGACUCAUGUUUCAUGUUUGUGAAAGAUGCCCCCGGCUGCUGCGUGGAGAGAGAUUUGGGGGUGAAGGCGGAAGCAGAGACACCAGUGAUGGGUGUAGAUGAGAGAAGAUGGUGGCUUUGACCAGAGUGCUAUCAGGAGGCUGGCUGAUUCUCUCAGCAACCUGGGAAGAAAGGUAAAUCACCACUUUCAUUCUGUGUGUGAGGACACCAGGGUCUAAAGAGAUCGUUGCCUGCCCAGAGUCAAUUUUCUGUCAUAAUCACUUACGAAGAAUGCAUCAUUCUUGAAGCCUAGUGAAUAGAUGAAGAAUUCUUGUAUGAAGACCCACCUGUGAAAACCAGGUCCCAAGUCCCUGGCCUAUCUGUAUGGUAAUAGGUAGAAAUGGUCCAAAUGAGUGGGGAAAUGACAGGGGGAUUAUAGAGUAGGGAAGUCGAUUUUCAGAAAGGGUUUAGGAGUACUGAUUUUGUAGGCUAUUAAGUUAACAACACGAUUUCAGUUUUUCUGUAAUCAGUUAAAAUUGUAAAGAGUAGUUUCACCUUGUUUUCUCUUGAGCUAACUCGGUAAAGCUUUAAAGAUAUUCUGUGCUGCCUUGGGAGUGUAGAGCAAGCAGAGACCGCCUAGGCCAAGGCUGUGUGUGUCUGCUUGCAAGAACCCUUGGAAUCACCUUGCC